AGUUUGAUUCUGGCUCAGAACGAACGCUGGCGGCAGGCUUAACACAUGCAAGUCGAACGAUAUAGUGGCAGACGGGUGAGUAACGCGUGGGAACGUGCCUUUCACUAAGGAAUAGCUUUUGGAAACGAAAGGUAAUACCUUAUACGCCCUUCGGGGGAAAGAUUUAUCGGUGAAAGAUCGGCCCGCGUUAGAUUAGCUAGUUGGUGAGGUAAUGGCUCACCAAGGCUACGAUCUAUAGCUGGUCUGAGAGGACGACCAGCCACACUGGGACUGAGACACGGCCCAGACUCCUACGGGAGGCAGCAGUGGGGAAUAUUGCACAAUGGGCGCAAGCCUGAUGCAGCAAUGCCGCGUGUGUGAAGAAGGCCUGCGGGUUGUAAAGCACUUUCAGUAAGGAGGAAAAGUAUGUAGUU
This 413-nucleotide ribosomal RNA is filed under the name Proboscia alata. RNAcentral's name for it is "partial Bacterial small subunit ribosomal RNA". It matches the Rfam family "Bacterial small subunit ribosomal RNA", at positions 10 to 461 of the family's 1533-position model. Lineage: Eukaryota; Bacillariophyta; Melosirophyceae; Probosciales; Probosciaceae. The record is from RNAcentral.